CCUGACGCAGAGACGCCGCGUGUGGGAUGAAGGUCUUCGGAUCGUAAACCACUGUCAGAGGGGACGGAAGGCCCGGGGUUAACGUGCCGCCGGGAUUGACGGUACCCUCGGAGGAAGCACCGGCUAACUCUGUGCCAGCAGCCGCGGUAAUACAGAGGGUGCGAGCGUUGUCCGGAAUCACUGGGGCGUAAAGGGCGUGUAGGCGGCUGGCUAAGCCGCGUGUGAAAGCCCGGGGCUCAACCCCGGAACGGCACGCGGGACUGGUCGGCUCGAGAAUGGUAGAGGCGAGUGGAAUUCCUGGUGUAGCGGUGGAAUGCGUAGAGAUCAGGAAGAACACCGGUGGCGAAGGCGGCUCGCUGGGCCAUUUCUGACGCUGAGGCGCGAAAGCGUGGGGAGCAAACAGGAUUAGAUACCCUGGUAGUCCACGCCGUAAACGAUGGGCACUAGGCGUCGGGGGGAGCGACCCUCCCGGUGCCGUCGCUAACGCAGUAAGUGCCCCGCCUGGGGAGUACGGCCGCAAGGUUG
This 525-nucleotide ribosomal RNA is filed under the name uncultured bacterium. RNAcentral's name for it is "bacterial SSU rRNA". It matches the Rfam family "Bacterial small subunit ribosomal RNA", at positions 382 to 896 of the family's 1533-position model. The record is from RNAcentral.